This 279-nucleotide ribosomal RNA is filed under the name uncultured euryarchaeote. RNAcentral describes it as "partial 16S ribosomal RNA". It matches the Rfam family "Archaeal small subunit ribosomal RNA", at positions 1047 to 1325 of the family's 1478-position model. Lineage: Archaea; Methanobacteriati; Methanobacteriota. The record is from RNAcentral.
GAGACCCACGCCAACAGUUGCCAGCAUGUCCUCCGGGAUGGUGGGGACACUGUUGGGACCGCCUCUGCUAAAGAGGAGGAAGGAAUGGGCAACGGUAGGUCAGCAUGCCCCGAAUUAUCCGGGCUACACGCGGGCUACAAUGGGCAGGACAAUGGGUUUCGACACCGAAAGGUGAAGGCAAUCUCUUAAACCUGCUCGUAGUUCGGAUUGCGGGUUGCAACUCGCCCGCAUGAAGCUGGAAUCUGUAGUAAUCGCGUCUCAAAAUGGCGCGGUGAAUAC